GAUGAACGCUAGCGGCAGGCUUAACACAUGCAAGUCGAGGGGUAGAGUUAGCUUGCUAACUUGAGACCGGCGCACGGGUGCGUAACGCGUAUGCAAUCUACCUUGUACAGAGGGAUAGCCCAGAGAAAUUUGGAUUAAUACCUCAUAGUAUUAUUGAAUGGCAUCAUUUGAUUAUUAAAGUUCCAACGGUACAAGAUGAGCAUGCGUCCCAUUAGCUAGAUGGUAAGGUAACGGCUUACCAUGGCAACGAUGGGUAGGGGUCCUGAGAGGGAGAUCCCCCACACUGGUACUGAGACACGGACCAGACUCCUACGGGAGGCAGCAGUGAGGAAUAUUGGUCAAUGGGCGCAAUCCUGAACCAGCCAUGCCGCGUGCAGGAAGACGGUCCUAUGGAUUGUAAACUGCUUUUAUACGGGAAGAAACCCUGCUACGUGUAGCAGCUUGACGGUACCGUAAGAAUAAGCAUCGGCUAACUCCGUGCCAGCCGCCGCGGUAA
This 496-nucleotide ribosomal RNA is filed under the name uncultured bacterium. RNAcentral describes it as "partial 16S ribosomal RNA". It matches the Rfam family "Bacterial small subunit ribosomal RNA", at positions 28 to 523 of the family's 1533-position model. The record is from RNAcentral.